UAGGGAAUCUUCCGCAAUGGACGAAAGUCUGACGGAGCAACGCCGCGUGAGCGAAGAAGGCCUUCGGGUCGUAAAGCUCUGUUGUUAGGGAAGAACAAGUAGCGCAGUAACUGGCGUUACUUUGACGGUACCUAACGAGGAAGCCACGGCUAACUACGUGCCAGCAGCCGCGGUAAUACGUAGGUGGCAAGCGUUGUCCGGAAUUAUUGGGCGUAAAGCGCGCGCAGGCGGUUCCUUAAGUCUGAUGUGAAAGCCCACGGCUCAACCGUGGGGGGCCAUUGGAAACUGGGGGACUUGAGUGCAGAAGAGGAGAGCAGAAUUCCACGUGUAGCGGUGAAAUGCGUAGAGAUGUGGAGGAACACCAGUGGCGAAGGCGGCUCUCUGGUCUGUAACUGACGCUGAGGCGCGAAAGCGUGGGGAGCAAACA
RNAcentral lists this ribosomal RNA (427 nucleotides) under uncultured Anoxybacillus sp. Its description in RNAcentral is "bacterial SSU rRNA". It matches the Rfam family "Bacterial small subunit ribosomal RNA", at positions 355 to 774 of the family's 1533-position model. The record is from RNAcentral. Lineage: Bacteria; Bacillati; Bacillota; Bacilli; Caryophanales; Anoxybacillaceae.